AUUGAACGCUGGCGGCAUGCUUUACACAUGCAAGUCGAACGGUAACAGGCCUUCGGGUGCUGACGAAUGGCGAACGGGUGAGUAAUGCAUCGGAACGUACCCAGAGGUGGGGGAUAACGCAGCGAAAGCUGUGCUAAUACCUCAUGUGAUCUGAGGAUGAAAGCGGGGGACCGAGCAGCAAUGUUUGGCCUCGCGCCUUUCGAGCGGCCGAUGUCGGAUUAGCUAGUUGGUUGGGUAAAGGCCUACCAAGGCGACGAUCCGUAGCUGGUCUGAGAGGACGACCAGCCACACUGGGACUGAGACACGGCCCAGACUCCUACGGGAGGCAGCAGUGGGGAAUUUUGGACAAUGGGCGCAAGCCUGAUCCAGCAAUGCCGCGUGCGGGAAGAAGGCCUUCGGGUUGUAAACCGCUUUUGGCAGGAACGAAACGGUGUCCGCUAAUACCGGGCGCUAAUGACGGUACCUGCAGAAUAAGCACCGGCUAACUACGUG
Molecule: ribosomal RNA, 492 nt
Filed under: uncultured bacterium
Lineage: Bacteria
Description: partial 16S ribosomal RNA
Rfam family: Bacterial small subunit ribosomal RNA
Source: RNAcentral